This 199-nucleotide long non-coding RNA is filed under the name Physcomitrium patens. RNAcentral describes it as "long non-coding RNA (PPAT_LNC009910)". Lineage: Eukaryota; Viridiplantae; Streptophyta; Bryopsida; Funariales; Funariaceae. The record is from RNAcentral.
UCAAACUACCAACUUCUAAUACUUUCUUGUACCAAAAUCCAGAUAUCUUUCAAUUGCAUUAUUAGAUUAAUACAAAAUUUUGUAUAUACUUAGAAAAUUCAAUCAAUCAAGGAUUAUCAAAUUUUGAACUAUAGGUGUGACAUUGAUUGCACAAAUUAGCCAAAGGUGCUAGCCUUAGUUGUAUUGCAUAAAUUCCAAA